This 246-nucleotide ribosomal RNA is filed under the name uncultured bacterium. RNAcentral describes it as "partial 16S ribosomal RNA". It matches the Rfam family "Bacterial small subunit ribosomal RNA", at positions 115 to 353 of the family's 1533-position model. The record is from RNAcentral.
ACGUAGGUAACCUGCCCAUGUGCCCGGGAUAACUUCUGGAAACGGGAUGCUAAAACCGGAUAGGUAGCAGACAAGCAUUUGACUGCUAUUAAAGUGGCUAAGGCCAUGAACAUGGAUGGACCUGCGGUGCAUUAGCUAGUUGGUGAGGUAACGGCCCACCAAGGCGACGAUGCAUAGCCGGCCUGAGAGGGCGGACGGCCACAUUGGGACUGAGACACGGCCCAAACUCCUACGGGAGGCAGCAUG